GUGCCAGCAGCCGCGGUAAUACGUAGGGUGCAAGCGUUAAUCGGAAUUACUGGGCGUAAAGCGUGCGCAGGCGGUCUUGUAAGACAGAGGUGAAAUCCCCGGGCUCAACCUGGGAACUGCCUUUGUGACUGCAAGGCUUGAGUACGGUAGAGGGGGAUGGAAUUCCGCGUGUAGCAGUGAAAUGCGUAGAUAUGCGGAGGAACACCGAUGGCGAAGGCAAUCCCCUGGACCUGUACUGACGCUCAUGCACGAAAGCGUGGGGAACAAACAGGAUUAGAUACCCUGGUAGUCCACGCCCUAAACGAUGUCAACUGGUUGUUGGGUCUCUUCUGACUCAGUAACGAAGCUAACGCGUGAAGUUGACCGCCUGGGGAGUACGGCCGCAAGGUUGAAACUCAAAUGAAUUGACGG
RNAcentral lists this ribosomal RNA (411 nucleotides) under uncultured bacterium. RNAcentral's name for it is "bacterial SSU rRNA". It matches the Rfam family "Bacterial small subunit ribosomal RNA", at positions 505 to 916 of the family's 1533-position model. The record is from RNAcentral.